UACGUAGGGACCAAGCGUUGUUCGGAUUUACUGGGCGUAAAGGGCGCGUAGGCGGCAACUCAAGUCAGCUGUGAAAUCUCCGGGCUUAACUCGGAACGGUCAGCUGAUACUGUUUUGCUAGAGUGCAGAAGGGGCAAUCGGAAUUCUUGGUGUAGCGGUGAAAUGCGUAGAUAUCAGGAGGAACACCUGCGGUGUAGACGGCUUACUGGACCAUAACUGACGCUGAGGCACGAAAGCGUGGGUAGCAAACAGG
Molecule: ribosomal RNA, 253 nt
Filed under: uncultured bacterium
Lineage: Bacteria
Description: partial 16S ribosomal RNA
Rfam family: Bacterial small subunit ribosomal RNA
Source: RNAcentral